GCCAAGUGUUUGCUUAUUAAAUAGACCUACUGCGCAUGCCACAAAAUUCUUUAAGAUUUGAAGUGCAUUUGAGAAAUCUGUGCUAUAAACAGGAAUCAUUUAAUGAUAUUGUUUUCUCUUCAUCACACAGAAUGAGGAAACACUGUAAUUCAGCCCCCUUUCAAUGGUUCAUCCACAGGAUAUUCAUUGCGCUGGGAUGGAUAAUAAUUGUCAUUAGUCCUUUAUGCCUAAGGAAGAUUUGCCCAGAGCUGACAUCUGUUGCCAACCUUCCUCUAUUUUGUAUAUGGGUAGCCACCACAACACGGCCACUGAUGAGAAGUAUAGGUCCAUGCCCGGGAACCAAAGCUGGGCCCCCAAAGUGGAGCAUGCUGAACAUAACCACUAGGCCAUAGGACCAGCCACUGUUUCAUCAUUUUAAAAAAUUAUUUAAUAGUUAGUGUCUCUCCCUACAGUAUAAGAAGACACUUAUUUAAAUGUGUGCACACUUAUGUAUGUAUCACUGCUAUAUGGAUUGACUUCAAUGCCUUCCUUAAUAUGUGUUACAUCAUACCAUCUCAAACUAAAUACCCUUCCUUUAUUUCUGCCAUGGUAUUAUAGCAAACAUAUAGGCAAUCAAAAGAUAAAAAAUAUA
This 631-nucleotide long non-coding RNA is filed under the name Equus caballus (horse). RNAcentral describes it as "lncRNA (ENSECAG00000054064.1)". Lineage: Eukaryota; Metazoa; Chordata; Mammalia; Perissodactyla; Equidae. The record is from RNAcentral.